UGCUGGUACAACUCUUCGCUUUACUUUUAACGUGCUUCGCCGUUCGGAGAACGCUGGUGCCGGGAUGGUGUAGGCAGGGUGUGGACUGCAACUACCAUCGUCCCCAGCCGGCUGGGGAAGAUGGGGCCCGCCACCUCCCCAAAAGGGAGCUAGAAAUGGGUCUCGAUCGCCUUCGGAGUAAGGAGGUAGAGAAUUGGCGGCGACAUCUUCGGAAUAACGGAGUUGGAAGGGACCUUAGAGGUCGUCUAGCCCAACCCCGCUGCUCAAGCAGGAGAGACCGAUACCAUUCUGAACAAAUGGCUAUGCAGUCUCUUCUUCCAAGACCUCCGCGAUGGAGCACCCACAACUUCCUCAAGCCAAGCUGUUCCACUGGCUAAGAAGCCUCCACUUGAUCAGAGGGACAUGAUGCUGGCUCUUCAACACAUGUUUAGAAUGAGCUCUGAAAGGUAUUGGCCAAAAUGAAGAUGUUUUGUCCUGAACUUUACAAAGGAGCUGAGAGGCCAUGAUGUCCAACUCCCAACCAGGCAGAUGGAGCAGCAUCAUGGACGCAAGCGGCGGGAAUGAGAUGAGACUUAGUUCUGAGAAGUUUCCAAGGAGUCUGGCCUCCAUUCUUCCUUCAGGGACCUUCCUCUUCAGUUUCACUUCAGAGAGGCUCCAAUUCAGCAUCUCUUUGGGUCACUUGGGUUCUUUUCUCCAGCCUCCAUAUGCACUUUUGGAGAAUCGUCACUUGGGAAAUGUGAUUUUGAGUGAGCCAGGUUCUGAGCCUCCUUGAGAGCACUGGCUUGGUUUGUAGAACACGCUCCUUUGUCAGCUGAGCUUAGUGGAGGAUAUUCAGGUAAUCCUCGAGUUAAGAAUGUAAUAGAGCCUGCCAGUUACAUUGGUAACACAAACAUUUGUUUGAAUCACGUUAAAUGAAUGUGAUCACUCCCUGCUUUCCCGAAUGCAUUUGUUAAUCGAAUGUGCAGGUCAUUAAAUGCACAUGAGGUAUCUCAGAGUGGGGAAGAGAUGUGGGGCCUCCAAUGGGAUGGGGGUACUGACUACGUAGCUUGUAACGUUCACUAAGGGGACGCCAGAGAUUACGUAUACAGAGCAGCAUAGUUGUCUGAAGACAGAGGCGCCUCCAGGUGUAUUGCAAAUAUUGAAUCCUCCGGGUGCAGCUCUAAAAGCAGCCUGAAAGGGAAACAGUGGCUGAUCCAUCCCUUACUCAUCCGGCUUGGGUUUAUUGUCCUUCCUCAAAUAUAAAUUCUGGAAUUAAAUCCAUUGUUCUAGUGGCCAAUGCAAAACGGAACGGAAAUAGGAUUAUGAAGAAGUUGCAAAUAAAUGUUUUUUCCUCAAAUCGGAAUGGCCUCUUUGUUUACAAUGACUCCUGCAAGUUUUGAUUCUGCCCAGUGCUUCUCCUACCUGGGCUGCUUUCUAGGUCGGGGGAGGGCAAUGGCAAUGGUUUGCAAUGGCUUCCAUGAAUGUGGCUGGCUCACACGAUGCGGACUGCCCCCUGCUCCCCAGGAUGGAAAUACGGAUGCUGGGUUUUUCUCUGCCCAGCACAGGUUGCCAGGGCCUGGACAGCUCAGUCCCCGAAAAGGGGGAGAGCAGGCACCUCCCCAAAACAGCUUGUCCCUCCUUUGCCCCUAAAAUGCCUUUUGGCUGUAAGCAAGGAAUUUUCCAAGAGUCUUGACAAGCUCAUCCCCCAAUAGUUGGUUUGUUUAUUAGGUUUU
Non-coding RNA from Pseudonaja textilis, 1712 nucleotides. The record is from RefSeq and is a predicted model, not a curated record. Lineage: Eukaryota; Metazoa; Chordata; Lepidosauria; Squamata; Elapidae.